RNAcentral lists this ribosomal RNA (484 nucleotides) under uncultured bacterium. RNAcentral's name for it is "partial 16S ribosomal RNA". It matches the Rfam family "Bacterial small subunit ribosomal RNA", at positions 30 to 507 of the family's 1533-position model. The record is from RNAcentral.
AUUGAACGCUGGCGGCAGGCCUAACACAUGCAAGUCGAGCGGAUGAAGGGAGCUUGCUCCUGGAUUCAGCGGCGGACGGGUGAGUAAUGCCUAGGAAUCUGCCUGGUAGUGGGGGAUAACGUCCGGAAACGGGCGCUAACACCGCAUACGUCCUGAGGGAGAAAGUGGGGGAUCUUCGGACCUCACGCUAUCAGAUGAGCCUAGGUCGGAUUAGCUAGUUGGUGGGGUAAAGGCCUACCAAGGCGACGAUCCGUAACUGGUCUGAGAGGAUGAUCAGUCACACUGGAACUGAGACACGGUCCAGACUCCUACGGGAGGCAGCAGUGGGGAAUAUUGGACAAUGGGCGAAAGCCUGAUCCAGCCAUGCCGCGUGUGUGAAGAAGGUCUUCGGAUUGUAAAGCACUUUAAGUUGGGAGGAAGGGCAGUAAGUUAAUACCUUGCUGUUUUGACGGUACCAACAGAAUAAGCACCGGCUAACUUCGUG